UAGGUGGCGAGCGUUAUCCGGAUUUAUUGGGCGUAAAGGGUGUGUAGGCGGUUUGUUAAGUAUAAAAUUAAAGCCCGAAGCUUAACUUCGGUUCGUUUUAUAAACUGGCAGGCUAGAGUACAGUAGAGGCAAAUGGAAUUCCUAGUGUAGUGGUAAAAUGCGUAGAUAUUAGGAGGAACACCGGUGGCGAAGGCGAUUUGCUGGGCUGUUACUGACGCUGAGGCACGAAAGCGUGGGGAGCAAA
Molecule: ribosomal RNA, 244 nt
Filed under: uncultured bacterium
Lineage: Bacteria
Description: partial 16S ribosomal RNA
Rfam family: Bacterial small subunit ribosomal RNA
Source: RNAcentral